Long non-coding RNA from Arabidopsis thaliana (thale cress), 205 nucleotides. RefSeq annotates it as other RNA. The record is from RefSeq. The transcript has a single exon. Lineage: Eukaryota; Viridiplantae; Streptophyta; Magnoliopsida; Brassicales; Brassicaceae.
UCAUCACUUUGUUUUCGGUUAUAAAUAAAACAAUGCGAUAUGUAUUAGUAUUACCUUGUAGCAGAAAACACGGUUAUGAGUUGUCAUCCAGCAAAUCUUUCGAAUCCAUCUAUCACACACAUUUAUGCGUUCUUAUAACUGUGUCUUUGUGAAUCAUUUCAUAAUCCCUUCACUAUAUCAAGCUACAUAUAUAUAACAAAAUUAU